Molecule: non-coding RNA, 1006 nt
Filed under: Pongo abelii (Sumatran orangutan)
Lineage: Eukaryota; Metazoa; Chordata; Mammalia; Primates; Hominidae
Source: RNAcentral
GACAGUACUCACUCAGCCUAGGCUUCCAGGCCCUGCUGGGCCCUCCUAUCCACUGAAGGAAAUGGGAGAUGAGUGGGCAAUGGAAAAGCCUUUGGAGUCAAAGGUAAAUCCAUGAGUUGACCACUUAUUGCUGUGAGACCCUGGACAGCCAGAUAUAGAGUUCUUGUUCUAGCACUGGCCCUAGGAAUCCCCAGAACUGGGCCUCUUACCCACACCACUGCCUGUAAUCCACAAACCUAUGAGUUACUCCAGUUACUGUCCUACUCAAGGACCCCCAUCCCAUCUGUGCUACUAUAACCACAUGGUCCAUCCCUUGCUUCAAUCAUAGAAUUCUUUCUUCAGAUCAAAGUAUAUUCAGACACCCGAUACAGUAACAAAAGCAAGCUAUCCUGGAAGGAAGAAGGAAUCAGGAGGCAGAGCACAUGGUUAAAGCAUGAGAUGUGAAACCAGGAAGAACCAGGUCUGAAUCUUAGCUCCACCAGUGGUAGCUCCAAACCUUAGUCCUUUCUGAGCCUGCUUCUUCAACCCUAAGGGAACACUACACUUCCUUAAAAAUUAAGAGUGUGUGCUACACUGCUUUACUAGAGCAAGACCAAAAGCAGCUUCAAUUAUGGUACAACUGUGUGAAGACACAAUGCAAAACCACUCAAGAAUGCUCACUCAAAUGGAUCUUUUACGAUGAUAAGCGACCAGAAAACAGUCCUCUCUGAAUCAGACAAACCUCAAGAGCUGCAAGGGUUAUUAACACAUAAAGUAAAGAGUCAAAUAGUAAUCUGCAGGAAUUCGGAAACGGGACCCAGAAAGUUGUUUCCUGCAAGUGGCUGGAACAACACAAGCAAUAAGUAUCCUGAAACAGGCCCUGUUCCAACAAACUGACCCAGAAAGGUCUGGUUAGGACAGGACCCUCACUAUACACUAAUACAUUUAAACUAAAAGGAUAUUAUGAAUUAUGUAGACAUAUCAAGCUGAGAGGAAAGGAAAUCCUAUCAUCUUGCAGGCUUCCUAA